CAGUAGCCACGGGAAUACGUAGGUGGCAAGCGUUGUCCGGAAUUAUUGGGCGUAAAGGGCUCGCAGGCGGUUUCUUAAGUCUGAUGUGAAAGCCUCCGGCUCAACCGGGGAGGGUCAUUGGAAACUGGGAAACUUGAGUGCAGAAGAGGAGAGUGGAAUUCCACGUGUAGCGGUGAAAUGCGUAGAGAUGUGGAGGAACACCAGUGGCGAAGGCGACUCUCUGGUCUGUAACUGACGCUGAGGAGCGAAAGCGUGGGGAGCGAACAGGAUUAGAUACCCCCGUAGUCCCUGUCUCUUAUAC
RNAcentral lists this ribosomal RNA (301 nucleotides) under uncultured bacterium. RNAcentral describes it as "partial 16S ribosomal RNA". It matches the Rfam family "Bacterial small subunit ribosomal RNA", at positions 509 to 807 of the family's 1533-position model. The record is from RNAcentral.